UUUAUUUAAAUCCACUUAUUUCUCUCUCUCUCUGUCUCCAUUGGAAAUAGCAAGAAGCUUAGAGAUCAGUCCAAGGGGGAACCCACAUGUGGGAUUUUGGCUUUGUCUGAGGCCUGUUGAUCCUGUCUUGCAACCUGACACUUGUCCUCCUGACUUACAACUCGCUUAACAGAAGUCACCCUACGGGUUAAAGUUAACCCGUAAUAACAGCCCAGCCAUGCUAGCAAUUUGGGUGGUUAAGGACCCCCCACACACACAUUUUUCAGCGCAUGCUUUUUGGGAGAGUAUAGCUCAUCGUUAUAAGUAUGGAACCAGGUGUCUGUGCUCAGUUAGCACAGACGUGCAGUCAUUGUGUUACCUGUGUCUCUUGUGACACUCCCCCCCCCAAGUACACAGCAGCAUGAACUGUUCUGUUCGUGGUACCAGCCUGUCAUUUAGGAAUUCCUGCUUCUUUGCUCCUGUGCGAACAGAAAGCUUGGCCAUGAUGUGCUCUUGCUUCUCCACAGAGUCUCCUGGGCAGGAAUGAUGGCUCUGGCCUCCUAUUGUCUAGGCUUCACCAUCUGCAGCAAAACAAACAAACAGACACAGCUCCCUUGUCUCCAGGGUUCUUGCCAGGUUCAGUUCAUUAGCAUGUAAGAAAAGCGCUUUGGGACAGAAGAUGUCAGAGGGAUGCGUAUGAGAUCUGGAUGAGUGCAGGUCAGGCAAUGGUAGCUGAAAUGCUGCUUCCCAAAUAGUGGUAUUGAUGAUCUGAUUGUUUAAAAAAACAAACCCAGUUUCUUUUAUGGCUGGUUGAGUGCAGAACAGUUUUGCUGCUGAUACGGAUGCAAAAUGUUCGCUAGCUGUGCCAUUGAAGUGGAAGUUGUGAUUCUCCCUCCUGCUCCAUUAUAAGGCCGAAUAAAUGGAUUGUGUGGAGUUUCUAAAUUAAACAGUGUUUAGUAAAAAAAAAGGUUUUCCCCUUCAGCCUUUAAUGUUUUGUUUUCUCCUGUUACCUGUUUGAUAGCUUGAGCACCACAGAAAGCAUAGCAGGGAUAGCGAUGAUGGCAGUUUUAAGUCCUCAUCUGUAAAGUGAUGAUGAAAAUGCUGAUUCUUAGGUCUUUGCAAUUUUCUCUCUCACUGAACAAUAUCUGUGCCAAAAAUAUUGGUUAGUAUAUGUGUAGUUUGUGUGUGUGUGUGUGUGUGUGCGCGCUUAAUUUGCUGUUCUUCAGUGACUGGAUCCAUAUAAAUAUUCUGAGUCACUUCUGCUAAACCCUGAUAAAAAGCUGAUGUGAUCUCAUACUUAUUUUAUAUAUCUGCCUACAUGUUGAGCUCAUUCUGUCUCAAGGGCUUAGCAGAGUACGGGAACUUUGUUAGCAUGCUGACAGUAGGACGAAAUGUGUGUGCGCACACGUGCCUUUGUAAUGUUACAUGGAUCAGAUUGCCAAGUGAAAAACUAUCCUCCUUAUCGCCUUGCCUGCAGCCGCCAAAUUUGGUUCAGAUAAAACUUAGCAUAUUAUCUCUGAAGGUGUUCAGACUUUGAGUAGCCAAGGAAUGAGAAGUUGAUGGAGAUGAGGCAGCCACUCAGUCUGGGCACAAGCUUUCUGGACUUUAUACAAACGGAAAAGCCAUGGGUAAUAUAUUGGGUAUUGUAGGAUGAGUGGUGGAUUUUGGGGUCCUCACUUGAACAAACCUUUCAAUUUGUUAUAUAGGGCGUUGGGCACUGAGCACUAUAGUUAAUGCAUGUGCAAAUACCGUUCAAAUCUUAGCAGACUGAUGCCUAACCUUUUUAUAUUUGGAAGUCUUGCCAGCUGUGUUAGGCUUGUGCUAUUGCUUUUGUGUUGAACAUUGGCCAUGCUGGUUGGGGCUGAUGAGUGACACCCAACAACAUCUGGAGUAGCACAGGAUCCAACAACAUCUGGAGUAGCACAGGGUGCUGAGCUGAGGGGCUGCAAAACAACAACAGCAACACCUAUAUUUAUACCUAGCAGUUUGAAAGCACGUCAAAGUGCAAGUAGAUAAAUAGGUACCAUUACAGCGGGAAGGUAAACGGUGUUUCUGUGUGCUGCUCUGGUUCGCCAGAAGCGGCUUUGUCAUGCUGGCCACAUGACCUGGAAGCUGUACGCCGGCUCCCUCGGCCAAUAACGCGAGAUGAGCGCCACAACCCCAGAGUCGGUCACGACUGGACCUAAUGGUCAGGGGUUCCUUUACCUUUCUACCUACUCAAAGUUAGGCCUUGGUCAGAUGGGCGAUUGAGUUGCUGCAACUAUGACCCAGUGCACUUGAGAGCAUUUGCAGAACAGAAGGCAAGAGGGAUGAGAGCAUGAAAAUAAUAAAUUUUGGGAGGGGGCACCUAAUUUUGCCGUCGCUGUGGGCAUAGCUGUCAAGUUCUCCCUUUUUUUUACAAGGGAAAUUCCCUGAUGCAGAAUAGGCUUCCUCGCGAGAAAAGGGAAAACUUGACAGCUAUGGCUGUGGGUGCCAUAUCACCAGAGUCCACCCGUGUCCGGAGGGCAUCUCAUUGGUUACCUCUGCCCUAUGGGAUAUCAUUAAGAGAAUGAGCCACAGAAGACCUUGUGUUUGCAGUGCUCCUCCAGUGCUGCCCCAAGGAGGAAUUUGGAAACUUCCCGUUCUUUUUUAGACUAACUGCAGUUUGCUGUAGCGUCCAAACCCUGACAAGCUGUGGUUAGACUUUGCUAUGUUUAGUAGAAACAAGACAGCUUCAAAACAUGUUUUACAAAGCUGGUUUGUUUCCCUGUCCUUAGAUUGGAUUAACCACGGUUUAGGGUCUGGACAUAACACUAAACUGUGCUUAAUUUAAAACAGAAGUAGAAGUUUCCAAUCUUCUCACAGCCAUGCUAGGGAUGGAGGAGUGUGCCAGCCCAGAUUUCCUGGGGUUCCUUCUUUCAAUGUUAAAUCAUGGCUUAGCGUUGUAUGUGAAAUGGGCUAUUGAUUUCAUUGGGGCUUGACUUCCAAACAAGUGUGCUUAGAUAGGCAAGUGUGCUUAGAAGGCAUCUUCUCAAAAGCAAUACAGUUUUGUUAAUAAUAAUGCUAUGGAGUUGUGAGGAAACUGAGGUGUGAUAAGAGAAGGUGGCUGGAAUAGCUGAGGUAAAAAAAAAAAGAGGGAUGGAGAGGAAGGGGUGGAUAAUCACAAUCCUGUUCAGUAGGGAAACAUGGCCUCUCUGUCUGGCCCUUGGGACUCACCCUAGGCCACAGGCCCUCCUAAGCCAAACCCCUCACCCGUUGUGUUUUGCACCCUCCUCAAGUAGGAGGGUAGGCCCUGAACCAAUGACUUCAAGUUACAAGAAAGGAGAUUCCGGCUAAACAUCAGGAAGAACUUUCUGGCAGUAAUAACUGUUCAACAGUUGAACAGAUUCCCUCGGACUCUGGUGGUGGAUUCUCCUUCACAGGAGGUUUUUACAUGAAUGCUUCAGUUGAGAUGCUUGCAUUGCAAGGGGUUGGACUAGAUGACCUUUGGAUUCCCCUUUAACUCUACAAUUCUAUGAUUCCGUAAGUGUUUUUUUUUUGCCUGGCUGGAAUGUGUCCUUGAGCUCAGAUUAUGCCAGGAUAGAGGUGGGUCUGCGUGUGCGGGCAAAGGCAGGACUGCUGGUACAGAGGUAGAAAUCGCACGAUUGCGCUGCCUCCUUUUGCCUCUGGUUCAACCCACCACUGGCAUGCGGCCCCCAGAAGAUUGCUGAGAGGGAGAUAUGACCCCUGUACUGGAAAACAGUUCCUGAUCCCUGCUGUUCAGGAAAUGGGAGAAUACUGUACACUAUAUUAUGCAUCGCUAAAGGAACGGCCCUCUGCUGUGGCAGGUCUCUUACAGAAGUCAACAAUUACCCACAAUGCUACUGUCCUUAACAGCCUCUGGCAUUUGGGCUGUUACUUACAAGAACAGCUAACAAAACCUGGGAGACUUGGCUGUCUACACACUGCCAAUAGGAAUUGAUAGCAGUAUUUCUACAAGCUGGCAUUUUAGCUCCUAGGUAUUUAAAACUACCCUCUGCUAACCUGUCAAAGGAGAUGGUAGUUUGUUUAUUUUUGGCGUUUUAUGUACCGGCCAAUCAACCGCGUUGUAGUUCUGGGAAAGAGCUCAAAAAGCAAACUACAGUUCCCAGCAUUCUCCAGUUCUUUAGGAGUUCUGUCUUAGAAAAACUGCAGACUCUGCUCUAGUUCUGAUCCCACCCAUGGCUGGCAUGCCGCCUCUGACAGAUUGCCCACAGCGGGAAAAAGGUUUCUCCAGUCCCACCUUGGGAUGAACGGUGCUAAGCCUCUUUCAAUCGAACCAGUUUUAAGUGUGUGCGGUAUGGCUGUGCCUGAAUAAUGGAUUCACAGGGCCCUCCACCCUGAUGGAGAGAGAAAGAGAGAGAGGUUUUGCACAAGCUCAGCAAGACUUGAUUAUUGAAUUUGGAGGCUGCUGUGGUCCCUGUAAAAUUCUUCUUGCAAUCUAGUUCAACCCUCAGUCCUCAUAAUCUAUGUUUUGUUCUUAUUUUGAGUAUCUAUACCCUGCCUUUCAGUUGAAUGAUUCUCUUUUUAAUUUUUUUUAAUUUUAAGGUGACUUAAGAAUAGGCUGUGUUAAUAGCGGGGAUUGAGACCCCAAAACUGGACACAGCUGCGGUCCAGCAAUCCAUAGCUCCCCUGGCUGAUAGAUGGGGCCCAAAUUUGCUUCCCUCUGGCUCUGCAAUGCCAGGGCAAAUGGCAGCUGGAGCUGCGUGUUAUUUCUGGCAGGGAGAAAAGAAGCCAGCUCCUUGCAUCUGGUCCUUCUCUGACUGAUAGAUGAAGCCAGGCUGAAUAUCUCCUUGCUCCGAUUGCCUUCCCCCUCUACAUAACUGACCACUGUGGUCUGCAGGAGAGAGGACCUCCUGUAGAUACCAGUUUCAUCCGGAAGUGUAAGAACAGGUCCUUUAGUGUGGUGGCACCUACACAUUGGAAAUCUCUCCUAGAGAUUCCCGUCUUGGUUGGAAUCUGGCUUGAAAUUGUGUUCUUUUACCCUUGAUACUUUGAAAUGUUGGUUGCUUUGGGUUGUCUCGGGUGGAGUGAUUUGCGAAUGAAGUAAAAAUAAAUAUUAUUCCUUCAGAGGCAGGGGGCGUUAACCUCCCAGUGGGUGGGUCCCCUGGCACAAGGCACAGGCCCGAGUGUCCGUUUCAUCUUCAUAAGGAAGGAUCCAUCAGCCCUCUGAAUUCCCCCUGUUCUGCUAAGUUGGGAGCACUGGCACUUCACUGUUGGGCUCCAGGGAAGCACUGACGUCAACAGGAACAUGUGUGGUAACUUGCCUAAGCUUCCCCUCUAGGCUAUCAAGCCACCCACCCCACCCUCCCUUAUGUUGUAGGGUUCUGGGGGUUGAGAAAUCACUUGGCAGUUUCGCUCCUUUGAAUUCCUUUGCCCUGGAAUACAGAGACGGGAGAGACGAAUAAGUCUGGCACCGGGAAAGCAGAUUGCUGCUGAGGCAGUUUUCUUUGGGUACUUCCUCCACUAAACACAUGAUGUGUGGCUUUUGGGAGGGGUAAAAAACGCAGAAAGCGAUGGUCUCUUUUUAGGUUGAAUCUCUUGUAGGGAUGUCGCUGCUGCAGGAAAGGUGCCCUAUGCUGAAUCAUCCAUAUUAUGGCUGUAACGUGGAGGAGUGUUUUAUUUCUUUUAUUUCAUUUAUAUACUAACCUUUUGUGGACCCAGGUGGCGCUGUGGGUUAAACCACAGAGUCUAGGGCUUGCUGAUCAGAAGGUCGGCGGUUCGAAUCCCUGCAAUGGGGUGAGCUCCCGUUGCUCAGUCCCAGCUCCUGCCCACCUAGCAGUUCGAAAGCACAUCAAAGUGCAAGUAGAUAAAUAGGGACCGCUCCGGCGGGAAGAUAAACAGCGUUUCCGUGUGCUGCUCUGGUUCGCCAGAAGCAGCUUUGUCAUGCUGGCCACAUGACCCGGAAGCUGUCUGUGGACAAAUGCUGGCUCCCUCGGCCUAUAGAGCGAGAUGAGCGCGCAACCCCAGAGUUGGACACGACUGGACCUGAUGGUCAGGGGCCCCUUUACCUUUACCUUAUACUAACCUUUAGUUUUAACUCUGGUAAAUGCCCAAAUGGGAGACAUAUUGGGAAGAAUAUGCACACUGCCUGAAUUUCCGCCAUGAAGGAAACAUGGAAUAUCCAUAGCUCAGUGGCUGGGCACAUGUUUUGCAUGUGAAAAGUUCAAAGUUCAACCCCAACACCUCUAGCUGGGCCAAAAGGAUCCCUACCUGGAGAGCCACUGCCCAUUAUUGUAGACAAUACUGAGUAGAAGGCAUCUAUGGACUGACUGGGGGAUAAGAUAAUUCCAUAGUGGGAUUUAAGUACUAUAAUGAAUUCAGAGUCUUAGUGCUGACCUUUAAAGCCCUAAAUGACUUCAACCCUGUAUAGCUGAAGGAGUGUUUCCACCUCCAUCUUCCAGCGGUUCCCUCAUUGCAAGAAGUGAGGGUACAGGGAACCAGGCAGAGGGCCUUCUUGGUAGUGGUGCCAGCCAUGUGGAAUGCCCUCCCAUCAGAUGUUAAGGAGAUAAAUAACUAUAUACAGUGGUGCCUCUGGUUACGAACGCCUCGGGUUACGUUUUUUUGGGUUAUGAACGUUUUAAACCCGGAAGUGAGUGUUCCGAGCUCUCGGAAGCCUCGCCGCUGUCCGGAACCAAACCCAGACAUCUGUGGGGCCUGUGGAGGCUCCGCAACUGGGCUCCAACAGCGGGAGCUCUUGGAGGCCUCCGCGAAUGCCCGGAGCCAGGCCCCGACAUCCUCAGGAUGCCCAGCAGGUCGCAUCCCAGCCCCAAAGUUAGGUAAGGAACGCUUACCUAAUGAAGACCAAGAGCAGUGAAGCUGUUAAGAAAACAAAAAUUAGCCUGGGCCGAAAAGCCCUUUACCAACCCUUGCCCCACCCCCAGCUGUAGCAAAAUGGGUGGCAUCUAGCCAGGUAAACUCACCUACCCUGUGGGAGGGGGGGGAGUGGUAGAUUUUGUGAUUCUGUAAGGGAUGUUGGGAUUUGUUUCUGUUAGUCUGCUCUGUGCCUUUCUCCCCGCUCUGCUCCUUCAUUUGGGGGAACCUCUGGAGGACUCUGCCUUCUGUCAUUGUUUUGGGAAUCAUGUGGAGCCCAGUUAAGUUACUGGUUGAUUGUGUGACUGCAGAAAUGGAUAAAAACACCCCACCCACACAAUGACUAUCAUCAGUGCAUGUAAGGGGGGGGAUGUUAAUUUUUUCAUCUACAAUACUGUCUUAUUUAUUUUAUAGUACAGUACAUUGAUUAUUGCCUUCAUUUUAUGGAUCGAUGGUCUUGUUAGACAAUAAAAUUCAGGUUAAAUUGUUGUUUUAGGGGGUAUUUUUCAUUGUCUGGAACAGAUCAAUCCACUUUUCCAUUACUUUCAAUGAGAAAGUGCGCUUCAGGUUAAGAAUGCUUCAGGUUAAGAACGGACCUCCGGAACCAAUUAAGUUCUUAACCUGUGGUACCACUGUAGUACCUUGGAAGUAGAAUAGAAUCCGUUCCGGAAGUUCGUUCGAUUUCCAAAAUGUUUGAAAACCAAUGAGAAGCAGCCAAUGAGAAGCUGCGGAAGCCCCGUCAGACGUUCGGGUUCCAAAAGAACGUUUGCAAACUGGAACAAUCACUUCCGGGUUUGCGGCAUUCGGGAACCAAAUCGUCCGAGUUCCAGGGCAUUCAGGAUCCAAGGUACGACUGUACAAUCUUUCGAAGACAUCUGAAAGCAGUCCUGAAUAGGGACGUGUUUAAUGUUUGGUGUUUUAUUAUGCUUUUACAUUUGUUGGAAGCUGCCCAGACUAUCUGGGGCAACCCAAUCAGAUGGGCAGGGUGCAAAUAAUGAUGAUGAUGAUAUCAUCAUCAUCAUCAUCAUCUUCAUCUUCAUCAUUAUCAGACUGCUCUAUAAAUUCUGCCUUCUCAAGUAUGUGUGGAACAUUCUUUUGGAAUUAACCAGGAUGUAUAAGGGUGCAUAAUUAUGCCUGUAUACUCUGUACCAAAUAGAAAUUUUGCUUGCCAGCAAAAAUGAAGAGGGUGGAGCUGUUGUGGCCUUGUUCAGUCCUGUGUGUUUGUAUAAAGGGACUUGCGUCUGAAGCCUGCUUUUGCACCCUGUGGGACGUAAAACAAGAUGCUGCAAUUGGCCCCAAGCUUUGGUGAAAUGUUGCGAAUGGCAAAACCUGCAUUUUGCUGCAUGGCGAAGCAGUAGUACAGACACUUUACUAGCUGGCUGGAAUGCAAAUCAAGCUCGCCUCGCUGAAAAGUGUUUUGUGAAUCGGCUCUCCAUUUGGGUAUGCUAUUGGAAUAACUUGCCCUGCGAACAAUAGAUUCCCUGAGCUUUGUUAUAAUCUGCUCAUGUGUGUGAGCACAGUUCCUCCCACUUCUUGGCUGCCUGUGUGGGAAGGAACUCCCUGGCUGCAAGCCAACAUUUUCUCCCCACCCCCCACCCCCAUACGGAGGCCUCUGUUUUCCAAACAUCCAGCUUCAGACCCCACAAAGGUGGUUGGUGUUGGUGUUCAACUUGGUGAUAAGUCCUGGGUAUGGGUUUCAUUCACUGAGAGUUGGGACACCUAUCUUCAUAUUGUUUCUUCAGCAUCAUUCCUGGGUUUCCUUGUAAACCUGAUCUUUCUCUGAGGGUGUAUGUUAAGAACUUCAAUGGCUCAGAUAAGCAUCAGUAUUCUGUGUAGUCGAUCCUAAGUGCCUUUUGCAAAAGCUUUCACAUACAUAUGUAAAUGUAGACUCUUAUCCGGACUGUUUUUACUGAAGUUGGAAAAGUCUGCUGUAGCAAAAGCGGUCCAUUAGGACUGUCAUACCAUUGCUGGUGGGAGAGUAAACUCUGAGUUUGGAACUACCCCCCCCAAAAAAAAACCCUCUACAAUUUUGACCCCACCCAGAAGUCUGGUGUCAAGGCCAACUGUUACAUAUCAGGGGCGGGCGGGCCCAGUUUUACUUUUAUGUUUUCACAUGCCGCCACCUCAAUGUGUAUUGAAAGGGUGGUCCAGUAGGCAUUGGAGAAAGCAAGUGUUUAUUCUUUUGUUAGGAAGUGGUGCUCAAGGGCCUUGCAUGCAGAAGAUUCAAUUACCUGUUCGUCUCCAAAUAGGGGCUGUGAAUGGUCCCUGCCUGGGACCCCACAGAGCCACUUCUAGUACAUAUAUAGAUAAUGCUGAACCAGGUGAGCUAAUGGUCUGCCUCCUGUAUAUGGCAGCUUCCUUGUUCAUUUUGCAGCUCAGCACUACAGGUGCCUUGGGGUUAGACCUUUCCAACCCCCUCUUUUCUCUACUUUUCUUUUCUGCUGUGCUUAGAAAAGAAGAAAGUGCCCAGGCUGCAGGUUGACAUCCUCUUAGAAAAAGAGUAGACGUGUUUUGAGAGUGUAAACAUGUUUUGAGAAAGAACCCGAUAGCAGCGUUCAAGGUCAAAAUCUGUGAGGCAUCUCCUCAAACAAUCCUGAGGGUUCUUGAAGAAGAAGCAACUGGCAUCCGCUCCCUCCUUUCCCCAAGGACAUGAGAAAUAUAAAUACGAAAGGUUCCACUCCUUUUCAUUGCACAGCUCCUAGUGUGUGAGGUGUUUUAUUAACCAUUUUCUUCUUUAUUGCUACACUUAGCAUCGUAGCUAAGCUUGUGAGCUCUGAACCAGGAUAUCCCCAUUUCGAAUCACUGUUGGCACAUCAUGCUCAGCCAAACUAUGGCAUAUCAUGAAUGCACAGGCUCCUGAGGAGGCAACUGCACCUGUUUGCUUCUCCCUAGGUGUGUGGCAUAGCCAAUAAACCAAGCUUUGGCUUGGCAUGUUGUCCAAACCUGAAACCAUGUGUAAACGUUCUCUUCCAUAACCGUGAUGACCUGUAGCCAAGGUUUGUCCUAUGGUAGAGGUAGUUUAGAGUUUGGCUGCAGUUCUCUGUUUUAAAAAUGAUGGAGGUGCCCACUAGAAAUUCACCCAAACGUUUCAGCCAGAGUCUUUAAAAAAAACACAACCCUGCACAAAACAUUAACACAGUAAAAGCUCUUUUAGGGGGGAAAAACAAAUAUCGCAUUCAAGUCAUGAAACUUUGCUAAAGGAUUUGGUAAGAAACAAACCGAGAAUACGCUGCAAUGUAGGAAUGCAUAUUGAUUGUACGUGAAUAUUCUGCUCAAAAGCAAGCUUAAACAUUAGCUUGGCCCCUAAAUGACUCUCUCCCCAACGCUCUUUCUUUCCCGGAUGUGUUUCCAUGACUCCUGGUUCUUAUGGUUGGAACCUUCCUUAGAUUUUGAUCAGACGAGGCCUUUUGAAAUUUGACAUUGAUCCCACGGAGGGCAAUGCUUUUUGCCCUUUUAGAUCCCAAAACACAGAGCGGUAAGGCUGAAUAGGAUCCAAAUGCCAACCUUUUUUAUUUGUUUUAUGAGGUAAUAACUUGUGUUUACUGCUGUGUUUCUAAGGACUUUCCCUUCCGGGAUCUGGAAGCAGCUCAGAACCUGCUUACCUUCACAGGUAAUAGUGAUAACAUUGGGCCUCUUCAGACCAUUUAAGCCCAACCUCAAACAUGGGACCCAUUGAAGUGCUUUCCUGUGUGUGGAUCUUCUACCACCACCACCACCACCACCCCCGACCCACUUUUUUAUUUCUUUUUAAGAAAACUACAGCAGUGGGAACACUGUGAUUCUCAUCUGAUCAACCCAUGACCCAGUUGCAGGUCACUUGGACACCAGCGAUCUAGGCCAGCUCGCAGCACAGUGCCAGAAACCCUCACCCCCAGAUGUUCCAGACAGAUUUUCAUGUGCGAUUGCAGCCUGUGAUUUCGUUUAUCUGAUGUACAGCCUGCCCGAGGCAGGGGGGAAACGGGUGCAUGGCGUGUUUUGCCAGACAUUGUGAUGGGAAAAGGGCUCUGCUUAGGAAGACAAACUGGCCUGAUUGAAGUGAGUUGUGACUGAACCCACCCUCCUGUUACUUCCAGUCAAUAAGGUGACCGAUUGUGGAGGGCAGGUCUCCUAUAUUUGCACUAUACAUUUGAAGAAGUCGUAUAUAUACCACUUUAAACAGUCAUUGCUCCCCCCCCCAAAGGGUCCUGGGAACAGUAGUGUGUUAAGGGCACCGAGGGUUGUUAGGAGACCCCUGUUUCCCACCCACCCACGGAGUUUCAUUUCCCAAAGUUCCCUGGGAAAAGGACCAAAUAGUUAAACCACUCUGAGAACUGCAGCUCGGUGAGGGGAACCCAACAAUUCUGCUCAGUGCCCUUAAGAAACUACAGUUGGUCUGAUAAUGCUUUGAUAAUGCUUGAUAACGCUUCAGAUGCAGAGGGUACCAGAGAAAAGGAAACUCUGGCAGGUUACAGCCUGCUCUAAACAAGGGAAUCAAAAGCUGCCUUUUGCUGAAAUCUCCGAUCCGCGCAGUGGUUUAAAUGUGUUGGAGCCCUCUCUUCCUGUUACACCUGGUCACCUGCUCUUUCCAAGUUCCGUAGUUUGAUCUGGAGGACGACAAAACAUGGGUGUGGUUCCAUACUGGCAAUUUGGGCCAAUUUCUUUCCCCUUCCUACUUCCAUUGAAGUUUGAGGUGUCCAAAUGCUACACCCUAUGGGGCUGGCAUCUUAGAUGGCUGCGGUGGCCAUUCAUGUGGCUGGCUAGGUGUGGCAGGUAAGUGGCUCAGGUGUUGCCAUCUCCUGGAAUUUCUCUGAAGUGUGGCAAGAGGCAGGAUGUGAAGAGCUAUAAUCUCCCCACUUCUUUGUGACAUAUUAAAAUAACGAUGGCUGGGUUGCAGACUGCAGGCUUGUCCCAAACCCUUCUGGCCCCACCAAAUUUUAAUCAUGGCGUGGCAGUAAAUUUCGUGAGGAAAUGAAGCAAUGAAGUUUCUGUGUGCUUUAUAUUUCAUAUAAAUACGUUUUUGCAUUGCUGUUUUGUGUGCGUCCUAGAACGAAUGUGGGCCUCUGCUAAUCCGGCCCUUGAUUUUUUUAAAAAUAAAAUUGUUCAGUGUAUUCCCUACGAAGCACCUGAAAGUGAUUUCACAAUACAGCAAAACCUUUAUACAGAACAAUUACACAUAUAAAAGCAAUUAAAAAGCAUUACAUAUGUAAAAAAACAGUUAAAACCUAAGGCCUGUCCAGACACGUAGACGUUUGUGUGUGUGUUUUUUACUGCUAAUUUUAAUUAUUUUUGAGGGUGUUUGCUGAUAAUUUUAAUGUUGCUAGCAAACUGCUUAGAUGUUUUAUUGCAGGCAAGUGCUGUAUACAUUUUGUUAAUUAAACUAAUUCACUGAAACAAUAAAUCUGUCUGUCUGUCUGUCUGUCUAUCCAUCUAUCCAUCUGAUAACUUUUAGGGAAAAAGCCACAGCUCAGUGGUAGAGCAACCCCACCAAAUGGGGGGCAUGAAUAAUAAAAUUAUUAUUAUUUCCAUGCAGAAGGUCCUAGGUUCAGGCGGUGGCAUCUCGGGUAUGGCUGGGAGAGAACCCUGCCUGAAACCCCACAGAGCUGCUGCCAGUAAGUAUAGGCAUUAUUGAUCUAGUUGGGCUAAUAGAAUCAUAGAAUUGUAGAGUUAGAAGGGACCACAAGGGACAUUUAGUCCCACCCCUUGCAACUGCACCAGUGGUCUGACUUAAUAUGAGGCAGCUUCAAACGUUAGGAAAUUCUCCAGAUCCUCAGCUGGUCCCUAAUUAUGUGAGCCUCAUAUCCUUGGAAUGUUGGUGUGCCAUUGACGUGACUCGCCUGUUACAUCAUUCUAGAUUCAGGUAGGUAGCCGUGUUGGUCUGAUGCAGUCGAAAUAAAUAAUUUUUAAAAUUGUCCAGUAGCACCUUAGAGACCAACUUAAGUUUGUUCUGGCUGUACGCUCAUUGUUAAAAUUGUGUUUAUGGAAGACAAUCUUACUCGGCUACGAGUGAUCGCCAAAGAGAAGAAGAAGAAGACCCAGAACAAACUUAGUUGGUCUCCAAGGUGCUACUGGACAAUUUUUAUUUAUUUAUUUCGACUGCUACAUCAUGCUCAGCUUUGUCAUAUAUAUAUAUAGAUAGACUUGCUAUCCAUGAGGUGGCUCAGAUUGUUCUGGUUUGAGACCCCAUGUGGUUCCCAGAAAUAUGUCCAUUGCUGCUUGAAUAGCUAAAUCAGUAAAGCAUGAGACUCUUAGACUUGGGGUCUUCGGUUUGAGCUCCACAUUGGGCAAAUGCUUCCUGCAUUGCAGCGGGCUCGACUGGAUGACCCUUGUGGGCCCUUCCAACUCUGCAGUUCUAUGAUCUAUGUAUUAUUGGAGUAUUCAAGACAAGGCACUUUGCCAAGAAACCACCACCUUUCCUCAGUUUGUCCCCUCGCCUUUCCACCUGAAUCUGUCCAUAUUAUGAGUGACCUUGUCUAGCUCUUUUCCUGGGCUGGCUUGAGUCAAGCAGGGUACAGAUUCUUUACCCCCUUAGUGAGUAAAGCACAGGAGUACGGAAGGAAACCAGCUGAGAUAUUUAUCUUUUUGGCCAAUUACGUUGCUGACUGAUGUGUCUGCAGUAAUAGCCCAUCAUGGUUAUGUGGUUUUCCAAAGAAGGAUUGCUGUCUCGGGGGUUAGGAGGGUGGAAAGAUCGCUACUAGUACUAUUGAUCCCCACUUGUAAAUGCUCACUUAGGGGGCACAAUGUAUUGCAGUAAAGCAGAGGUAUGGAAACAUUUGAAAGGAAGUGGCUGUUGCCCGGGGCGGGCAGGGUGGGUGGGUUGGAACUGAUCCAUGCGUAUGGCCAUUAAGGCACGAUAUAUACUUCCCUCUUCCUUGCCUCCCUGCCAGCCCUGUAGGCCAGAGAACCUUCUGUUUUCAUUAAGGUAUUGACAAUCAAAUGUGCAUGUUUGCUGGGAUAAAUUAAUGAGGCCAGAAAGAGCAACAGGGGGCAGAGGCAGGAAACAGGGCUAGCUCAUUGGGAUUUCCGAGCAACUGGCAAAGGCCAUCCUGGAUGUAAAAAAAAUGUUUCGAAAAGAUAAAUAAAGAGCAGAGAAACGUGCAUUACUUGUUUGUUUUAAAUUCUCCCAAUUCCAAAGAUUCUCUCUCUCUCUCUCUCUCUCUCUCUCUCUCUCUCUCUCUCUCUCUCUCUCUCUCUCUCUCUCUCUCUCUCUGUGUGUGUGUGUGUGUGUGUGUGUACAUACCUUCCAACAUUUCUCCAAUGAAAAUGUUGUUGUUGUUGUUUAGUCGUUUAGUCGUGUCCGACUCUUCGUGACCCCAUGGACCAGAGCACGCCAGGCACUCCUGUCUUGCACUGCCUCCCGCAGUUUGGUCAAACUCAUGUUCGUAGCUUCGAGAACACUGUCCAACCAUCUUGUCCUCUGUUGUCCCCUUCUCCUAGUGCCCUCAAUCUUUCCCAACACCAGGGUCUUUUCCAAUGAUUCUUCUCUUCUCCUGAGGUGGCCAAAGUAUUGGAGCCUCAGCUUCACGAUCUGUCCUUCCAGGGAGCACUCAGGGCUGAUUUCCUUAAGAAUUGAUAGAUUUGAUCUUCUAGCAGUCCAUGGGACUCUCAAGAGUCUCCUCCAGCACCAUAAUUCAAAAGCAUCAAUUCUUCGGCGAUCAGCCUUCUUUAUGGUCCAGCUCUCACUUCCGUACAUCACUACUGGGAAAACCAUAGCUUUAACUAUACGGACCUUUGUCGGCAAGGUGAUGUCUCUGCUUUUUAAGAUGUUGUCUAGGUUUGUCAUUGCUUUUCUCCCAAGAAGCAGGCGUCUUUUAAUUUCGGGACUGCUGUCACCAUCUGCAGUGAUCAAGGAGCCCAAGAAAGUAAAAUCUCUCACUGCCUCCAUUUCUUCCCCUUCUAUUUGCCAGGAGGUGAUGGGACCAAUAGGGAUGCCCUAUUAUUCCAUAUUAAUAUUAUUAUUAUUAAUAAUAAUUUUAUUAUUUAUACCCUGCCCAUCUGACGGGGUUGCCCCAGCCACUCUGAGCAGCUAGCAAAAUGAAUUUCAAUAGGGACAAAUGUAAGGUUCUGCAAUUAGGCAGGAAGAACCAGAUGCACAAAUAUAGGACGGGGGAUGCCUGGCUUACUAGCAGUACAGGUGAAAAGGAUCUAGAGCAGGCAUCCCCAAACUGCGGCCCUCCAGAUGUUUUGGCCUACAACUCCCAUGAUCCCUAGCUAACAGGACCAGUGGUCAGGGAUGAUGGGAAUUGUAGUCCAAAACAUCUGGAGGGCCAAAAUUUGGGGAUGGCUGAUCUAGAGGUUUUAUUAGAUUGCAAGCUUAACAUGAGUCAACAGUGUGAUGCAGCGGCAAAAAAAAAGCUAAUGCUAUUCUAGGCCGCCAGUUCAAAUACAAAAACUGAGUUCUGCACAAAGUACAAGUGUCAGCCAAUCUCCAGGAAAGGGGGAGUUCAAGCCUUGAGGGGCUGCUGCCAAGAAUGCCCUUGAAAACCUGUGUGACAGCCUUAGAUCAGUGGCAGAGCAUCUGCUUUGCAUGCAGAAGGUCCCAGAUACAACCUCCAGUGUCUCCCAGUGGGGCAGGCAGAGACACUUGCCCGAAAUCUUGGAGAGCUGCAGUCAGACAAUACUGAGGUGGACAAGCCAGUUCUCUGACUCAGGAAGCUGCCUUGUACCAUGUUCCUUCUUAGUAUACUGAUUAUAUUGUCAAGAACGUGGGGUGAACAGCUUUUAGUUCUGGGGCCACACCUGCCUUACCAAGGCUCCCAGGUCCAAGCAGCCACAUACCAAUAGCAAGAGGGAGAUGCUUGCAGAGAGCCAGUUGGUCUGGUCUGACAGCUUUGGUCUGAGAGACUUUUAUGUGCAGCUCAACCAUCUCUUGCUGAUGCUGCCUAUAGAUUUUGUUCUCUUGCCCAGACUCUUUAUUUGUACAUCAAUUAAAAUGCACCCAGAAUUGAAACUGACUAUUGCCUAGCGCUUACACCAGUUAAACCUGAUAGUUCUUGAGAGUUCGGCUGCCCCAAAGGUGUCUGUGUUCCCCUGCUUAUAUAAUUUAGUAUUUGUUACUUUUGCCUCUAAUUCUUUCCCCUUCUCUCUUUCUCUGACCGCCAUCUCUUCCGCUGCCGUUUCCCGGUUUCCUCUCCUAGGAAUGUUUUGGUAUGUUCCAGCUAAAAAAACUUUAGAAUAAAGACUCCUUAUGGAUUGCGAUAGAAAAUCAAUCGAGAGCCUGUGGGCCGUUGAUGCAAUUAUGGUCUCAUACCUGUCCGAGGCAAUUAAAUAAUGGAAUGGAAACUGAGUAAUGUCAAAUAUCUGGUUCCUUCCUGCGGUACGUGAUUACAGAGGAUCAAAUUAAUUGAAGUCGUGGGCCUGCUAAGUUAGAGUGCUGCGUUUAGGUGAAGACUGGCUGGGGAAUUUGGGAGAGUGAAGGCCCUGAAUCAUUUAGCAUAGGAGCAAUCUGAGAGGCAGUAAAUAAUAUAGUUUGGUUUUAAAAACGCAGUCAUGAGGAACUUGUGCAGAAGAAGACACCAUCCCUCGAGACCUGUUAUAUUUAAACAGGAAGUGUAAUACAGUGGUACCUCGGUUUAUGAACACAAUUGGUUCCGGAAGUCUGUUCAUAAACUGAAGCGUUCAUAAACUGAAGCGAACUUUCCCAUUGAAAGUAAUGGAAAGUGAAUUAAUCCGUUCCAGACGGUCCGCGGAGUACUUAAACUGAAGCGUUCAUAAACUGAAGCGAACUUUCCCAUUGAAAGUAAUGGAAAAUGGAUUAAUCCGUUCCAGACGGGUCUGCGGAGUACUCAACCUGAAGCGUACGUAACCCGAAGCAUGGGUGUAAUUGGUUCCGGAUGUCUGUUCAUAAACUGAAGCGUUCAUAAACUGAAGCGAACUUUCCCAUUGAAAGUAAUGGAAAGUGAAUUAAUCCGUUCCAGAUGGGUCCGCGGCGUUCGUAAACCGAAAAUUCAUAAACCGAGGUGUUCAUAAACCGAGGUUCCACUGUAUUGGCAGAAAGUAUCUGAUACCAAAAUUCCUACUUGAAGUGUUUAUUCAGUGUUUUUUUUAAGAAAAAUACUUUUUAUUCACUUUUCCAAUUAAACAAUAUAAAAAACAAAACAUACAUACACACAAACACAUACAAAAACAAAACCUCAUAAUGAUAUCAUUCCUUUCUCAUCUCAUCUCUUUUUUGCUCUGCCGAGCUCAGACCUCCCUCCCUCCAUACAGCUUUAUUAUUCCACUCCUAUCUCUCAGUCCCUUUUAUAUAUUCAGUCUCACUUCGUAGGUUUUAUUUACUCCACUCUCUCUGGAACUUUGUCUCUUCCUGGUUUCGGAUCCUGCAAGUCAACUUAGCCAGUUCAGCAUAAUCCAUCAUUUUUGUCUGCCACUCCUCAAUCGUUGGUACCUCUUGUGUUUUCCACUUUUGGGCUAAUAAAAUUCUCGCCGCGGUUGUAGCAUACACAAAAAGUCUCUGAUCCCCCUUAGCAAUCUCCUCUCCCAUUAGUACCAAUACAAAUGCUUCAGGUUUUUUGGUGAAAGUGUUUAUUCAGUGUUGGCCCAGGCAUAAAAAGAGAACCCCUGUUUAUUAAUUAUUAGAUUGCAAGCUUAACAUGAGUCAACAGUGUGAUGCAGCGGCAAAAAAAGCUAAUGCUAUUCUAGGCUGCCAGUUCAAAUACAAAAACCAAGUUCUGCACAAAGUACAAGUAUCAGCCAAUCUCCAGGAAAGGGGGAGUUCAAGCCUUGAGGGGCUGCUGCCAAGAGUGCCCUUGGAAACCUGUGUGAUGGCCUUAGAUCAGUGGCAGAGCAUCUGCUUUGCCACUUGAUAAGAAUAUAUUUGCUAGUUCGGAGCACCAGCAUUGUGACCUGUCAAGAUUGAGAUGAGCAGAGCUUUAACUCUUGUUGGUAACCAAUAUAUGGUAUUCAAAUGUGUUUUGCCCCUCAGAGUGGAAGCUUAAUAGAGCUCUCAUGGUAAACAGCUUUUGGGCAGCCUAUUCUUUUACGUACAAUAUGAUCUAUAUGCAAUUUAAUAGCUGUCACAAAGAGGGUGGAGCAAAUUUCUUUUCUAUAGGACCAGAGGGUAGUAUCCAACCAGUGGGUCCAAAUUACAAAAAAGGGGGGGGAUUUCAACUAAACAUGAGUCAGCAGUGUGAUGCAGCAGCAAAGAAAGCUAAUGCUAUUAUUGGCAGCAUCAACAGAAGAAUAGAGUCCAGGUCAAGGGCGCCCCACUCUAUUCUGCCUUGGUCUGACCACAUCUGGAAUAUUGUGUCCAAUUCUGGGCAGCUCAGUUUAGGAAGGAUGUUCACAAGCUGGACCGUGUGCAGAGGACGACAACCAAGAUGAUCAUGGGUCUGGAAACCAAGCCUUAUGUUGUUGUUCUUUAGUCGUUUAUAAGAAUAUAUAAUGGACCAGAGCACGCCAGGCACUCCUGUCUUCCAAUGCAGGUUGGUCAAACUCAAAUUGGUAGCUUCUAUUACUGUCCAACCAUCUCGUCCUUCCUUAUGAGGAACCUUGAAAUAGUAGUUUGCUCUUUUUUAAAAUUAAAAAAUGGCUGAACAAAUAAUCUCUCAGAGGUAUUGUGCCAACCAAAUAGUAUGAUUUUUAACUGGAGAAUAUCUGCCAUGUUUCUUCAGCUGACCUUAAUUUUCCUUGAACCCAUCUGACUGAUAACAGAAAGGUUCUUUUGCGAACCUUUCCCCAACCCAACAAUAUCCUUUGGGAGGUGACCAGAAGUGCGCGCGGUAUUUCAAAUGCAUGCACAAGCUUUUAUCAUUCUUGUGAUACCGUGCGGGGGGAAGGGGGGGUGGAGUUCAAGUGCUGAAUUGCUCAGAGCUGUCAAAGGUACAGGAGUCCUGCCAGGAAGGGAAAAGCAAACAAACAAACCAUGACAACCAUAAUCUUGUACUCUGACUUCUGCUGUUUGCUCCAGGCCUCCCUGCAUGGGUGGGACUUUGGAGUGCUUACGCUGGCAAUCGACUGGCUGCCCGUGGGAUGAAGCUCUUAUAGAUUUAGCGCAAGGAGGGAGAGCCGUUCAGAUCGUUGCUACAAGUUACGGGGAAAACUCCUCCUGAGGAGCAGUGGAAUUCCUCCCCACAGCUCCUCUUUAUUGUAGUGCCAUCAGAAAGAACUGCCUACAGUUCCCCCAAGCAUUUUUUCGUGCACGUGUGUUGGGGGGUAGCAAGCCAAUUUCAGCAAAAAUCAAGGCUGAAGGAUACAAACCACACAUUUCAGGGCAGACAGGCACAACUGUCUCCUUAACUGAAAAGCAAUCGAGUCGUAGAAUUGCAGAGUUGGAAGGGAUCGCAAGGGUCAUUUAGUCCAACCCCCUGCGGGGCAGGAAUCUUUCGCAAAAUGUGGGGCUCAAACCCACAACCCUGAGAUUUAAGAGUGACUGAGCUAUCUGCUUUGGGAGGCUGCAGAUUUUUGAGUGAAGGAGCAUUGUUAGAGGAAGGGGUGCUUAAUUACCGUACUUUUCUGUGUAUAUGACUAUGGUAGGUUUUUUAAACUUUAAAAUAAGGUUUAAAAUCUGGGGGCAUUAUUAAAUAGUGGGUAGACAACACAGCGUUUCUUCAAGAAGCUCUUUAUUCGGAAGCCAAAACAGAACUGAACUGCAUUGCCGAGCCGGCCUGCUUUUAUAGAGGCUGGCUCAAACAAUGUAUCAAACAUAAUUCAAAGUUCCCUCCUAAAACAACUGUCAAGGACCUGAGGACCUGAGGGAAAACUAUAUACACUAAUACAUAACAGGCAUCUUAUACACGGGAAAAUACAGUAUUCCCCUGUGUUCCAUUUCCCCCUGCUUGGUUCACUUCUCAGCACUAACUUAACACAUGCGGUGGGGAUUGGGAGAAGGUUGAAGAAUAAAUAUUAUAUAUAGUGUAUAUAUAUAUAUAAUUUUAUAUUUUAUCCCCACCCCAACACAAGUGGGAAAGCAGCUUGUUGUUAUUGUUAUAUAUUAUUCAUUAAAUGUAUAUCCAAAGAUCAAAGGGCAGUUUAGAGGGUGAUUUGAGAUCAGGAUUUUGCUUGGGAAAAUUUUAAAUUUAUAUACUGCCCUGUACGCACAGGUCUCAGGAAGGUUCACAGGAUAAAAUCACAAAAUGUGCAAUCAAAAUAAAUAAUAAUAAUAAUUUAAUUAUUUGUACCCCGCCCAUCUGGCUGGGUUUCCCCAGCCACUCUAGGCGGCUUCCAACAAAAAUUUAAAAUACAUUAAAAUGUCACACAUUAAAAACUUCCCUGAACAGGGCUGCCUUCAGAUGUCUUCUAAAUGUCAGGUAGUUAUUUAUCUCUUUGACAUCUGAUGGGAGGGCGUUCCAUAAAAACAAAAACAACCAAAUACACCCCCCCCCAAAUAAUAACCAGAGAGGGGAAAUAGAAUUUGAAACACACAAUAUUUGUAACAAAACAUAUACAGUAAAAAUAAGCACCCGUAUAAGUCAAGGAGUAGAUUAAAAGAUCAAUUUAACUUUCAAAUCAAAACGUUUUAGCCAUGGGUUCCCCCCCCCCCAUUUUAACCAUUCAUAGAAGCUCUUUGAUCCAGUGGAGGCUUAUAUAAAGGGAUGCUGGGAGGCAAUUUUCUAUUACUCCCCCUUCCUUCUGCAGUCCUUGCUCCCAUCCCCAAAUCUGAUCCAAGGGUUGGGGAAACCUUUGGGACAGCAUUUGGUGGAAGCAGGGGAGGUGGUUAAGCACCUCCUCCCCUGCUGCUUCUCUAGUCAGAUUGCAGCCUCUUGCACUACUACUUUGCGUUACAAAGAAAAUAAAAUUAGUGAAAGUCUGUGACAUUUUGGCAUCGUACAGGGGCUGAAAGAUAAAACAGGAAGUUCCUGGGUUCUGAUCUGCCACAAAUUUGCUCAGCGGUCUUAGCGGUCUUAAUACUGACUGGUCUUGCAGUGUGUAUUCCCCCUAUUUCCGAUGUUCAUUUGUGAGUGGUGUUGCUGAUGCAGCUGAAACAUCACCACCCAUAUACAUAUUAAGUAGGGCAUUGACAGAUUUGGGAGAACUCCUAAGGAUUGUAGAAGUAUUCCUAGGGGAAACAUUCCCGGGAACCCCCUAAAACAGCCCAAUGGUGACUGGGUAUGCUCAGUGGCCUCUGAAAGCUGGCAGACUGUUUAUGCACAUGGAAAUGGAUGGGGAAAUGGAAUGGAGUUUCCGGGCAACGGGCAUGGCUGAUUAGAACAGUGAACAAGAACACUUGCCACUGCAACAUUUUGUUGCAUGCCCCACGUGCUACGGUAAGCAUGACCCGUUUCCUGCAAAACCUUGGGCUGCGAGAUUCUCAGAAAGACAAAGUCUCCCUGUGUGUGUUUUAAGCCUCACGUCCCAAUUCAUUAAACGGGAGUGCUCGUUAGGGUGGGUGUAUUCGUGGGUGGGCGUGUGAGUAAAAACGAGCCGCUGCCGUUAUUGGCUUUUUGCUUUGACCACGCAGUGACUUUCGCAAACAAGCAGCGCUCCUGUUUCUAUGGAGAGGGACGUGUUCGCGCAGCCUUUAAUUUGGGAGAUGGAGCUAACCUUCUCCUAUGCUUCACAACUCAGUAAGCAGCGCGAAGACAGAUUCUCGGAGACAAUGCUCCUUUUUCUGCCAGCAGAUAUCUAUUUGUGGAAAUGGGUCAGCUUCCUCUUGGUGGACACGUUAGCGCUCCAGUGCCUGGGAGCGCUUGCUUUACAAUUUCUCUCUCCGCGACGCAGGCAGCAGAGCUCCUCUGCAUAACUACUCGUGGCAGCCCAGUGUUUCAUGAAUUGAAGCGAGUUAACCACAAGGAGAGGAUGACAUUUCAAGACAGCGCAGGGUGAAUUCUAAGUCCCGGGCACACGCACACGAGCUGGAUUGCUAUAAAACAAAAGGGGUUGUUGCUUUUUUUAAAAAAAAAAAUAGCAAAUGCAAGCACAGAAACCAUAUAAAGGGAAUCAUGUCGUGUUUAAAACAGCCACGACCAUGGGUUUAUUCCAUUACCUGCACAUACCUUUGGUGGUAACGAAUUCCCACCUGCACUGAUGCUGGGCUUUGGUGUGAUGGUGGCGCGCUGCCCUCAUCUUCCCUGUGGGACAGCCUUUGUUAUUGUUAUCACGUCCCUUCUAUGAAAGCAUUUGAGGGUGAUGUGCAAUAAAAAAUGGCGGAAAUCGGUUAACCACAAUAAUAAUGAAAUAGGCACCAAUGGCAGAGGCCCGAUCCAGCUGGAAAAGCCUUUGAGAAUGAAAACGUCUUCAGUUGUUUCUGGAAAGUGCGGAGAGUAUCUCAACGGCAGUGCUAUCCACCGGGAAAGGGGCAGCCCCACUGAAAGCCCUGCUGAGUUACUAGGGCAGAGGCAGACCCAGCACACUAAAUUACUGUUUCUGCGCCAUUUGCAUUUCUACCUCCUUUUCUGUGGAAUUCAGACAGCCUUCAUCACACUAGAUUCCCAGUAUGCUAGGGAGCAAACUACGGUACGUGCUUGUAUUUGGCAGGAGACGGGGGGGAUGUGCGCUGUCCCUGGUCAUCUCUUUGUUCUAGGGAUCAAACUGAUGUGACUGCCACUAUUGGGGGGUUAUCUAAAAACUCGAGGGUGGCCUUAGUGGUGGUUGAAACAGGUGGAUUUUGAAUACCUGAUGCAGGUUAAGUAGCUAUGCUACCUGCUUCAAAAGUUCAGAGCCUGUUUCCUCCCCCCCCCAUUGUGCUCCAUUACUGUAUUUGUAAAUAGAACGCUUGGUACAUAGACACCUUCAGUGCUCUCUCACCCAGAGGGAAUUAUUCUGGCAGUGCCCUCUGCUCAGGAAAGUUGAGUGUCAAAUGUAUGACAAUAGAAUGGUAUAUCAUCAAAACGGCGCCACAGUUGAGAGCUGCAUUAGAAAAUGGCAACCCAAGCACUAGAUGGGGGGGGGGGAAUGAAAGGCACAAAUACAGGAUGGUUGACACCUGGCUUGAGAGCAGUACAUGUGAAAAGGAUCUAGGAGUCUUGGUAGACCACAAACUUGACAUGAGUCAGCAGUGUGAUGCAGCAGCUAAAAAAGCCAAUGCAAUUCUGGGCUGCAUCAAUAGGAGUAUAGCAUCUAGAUCAAGGGAGGUAAUAGUACCACUGUAUUCUGCUCUGGUCAGACCUCACCUGGAGUACUGUGUCCAGUUCUGGGCACCACAGUUCAAGAAGGAUACUGACAAGCUGGAACGUGUCCAGAAGAGGGCAACCAAAAUGGUCAAAGGCCUGGAAACAAUGCCUUAUGAGGAACGGCUUGGGGAGCUGGGUAUGUUUAGCCUGGAGAAGAGAAGGUUAAGGGGUGAUAUCAUAGUCAUGUUCAAAUAUAUGAAAGGAUGUCAUAUGGAGGAGGGAGAAAUAUUGUUUUCUGCUGCUCCAGAGAUUCCACCUAAACAUUAGGAAGAACUUCCUGACAGUAAGAGCUGUUCGGCAGUGGAAUUUGCUACCAAGGAGUGUGGUGGAGUCUCCUUCUUUGGAGGUCUUUAAGCGGAGAUUUGACGGCCAUCUGUCAGGAAUGCUUUGAUGGUGUUUCCUGCUUGGCGGGGGUUGGACUGGAUGGCCCUUGUGGUCUCCUCCAACUCUAUGAUUCUAUGAUUCUAAGCACUAUUGUACAUAGAGCUUUUCUAAGAAGGCUGCAUCAUUUACAGUGCUUAAAAUUGGUCAUGUAGCCCACAGCAGCUUGGUUCACAUGUUACGGCCAAACAUUUCUACCCCAUUUUGGGCUUAUGAACUGGGAACUAAAUUGGGAAGGGAACGCCCAUACUCAGACAUUCCGAUUCCCCAUCUCAUUUCCUGAUUUGAUCAAAUCACAGUGUGCUGUUAUUUCUAGACUGAGCAAACCACAUGGUUCAUGUAGCAUGGUCAUUUAUUAACAGCCAGAAAAAGAGAGAAAACACAUCACCAAGAGAGAGAGAGAGAGAGAGAGAGAGAGAGAGAGAGAGAGAGAGAGAGAGAGAGAGAGAGAGAGAGAGAGAAAGGAAAGGUGUCACACAUUUGCAUGAACUUUGUAUGCACUGAUGUUUGUGUGUAGAUGCAUAUUAAAUAUAUUUAAACUGGACUUGGGACCAGAGAGCCCUUCAAAAACAGAGGACUGUCCUCUGUCCGGUGGGACACCUCAAGUUUCUGCAAAGCAUUGUUUCCCUUGGUUGGAUGUAAGGGCAACCAUGGUUUGAGCAACCUAGGAAAUGAGGAACAGAAUUGAAAUGCAGUACGUGAGGGGAGGAGAUAAUGGGAGUCUGAGGCUUGGAAACAGACAGACAAACCCAGAAAUAGUUUGCCUCGCCGGGAGAUAUAUAGGGAGGUAGCUUUUAAGAUGAUGGAUGCUUGACAGUACGUCCCUUCCCUCUGCAGCCACUCUAUGUGAUUUCUGCCAAGUUCUCAGUUUUAUAUUAGCUGCUGUUGGCCUAAUUUUGUUGUGACAGCUCCAAACUACAGAGCAGGCUUUUCCUGUGCCAGGGGCUCCUAAAUUUAAGCAGGCAAAAAGCUGUUUUGGACACCCAAGGAGAUUAUUGUGCAAGGCAUAUGGCAGGACUGCAGUAGGGCUAGACUGACUCUCAGCUUGGUGGCUCAACUUUGGUUGCCCCGAGACCCACAAUCUGAAACUUGAUGCCGAAGAAUUGAAGAGCUCUAUUUUCUUACUUUUAUAUUAUUUGAUUAUGUUUACGAAUUGCUUCCCGUGAAAUAUCUCAAGAGUGAUUUCCCAAUGAAAACCUUGCUGUGCUUCAAAAAAACGGAGAUUGUAGAUUGGAAAAGGAUCAGAAAAGGGGGGCUAAGAUGAUCAAUGGGGUUGGAGAGACUCCCCUCUGAGGAAAGGUUGCAGUGUGAGGGCUCUUAGUUUCGAGAAAAAGCGACUUGGAGGCGACAUCAUAGAAGUUUAUAAAGUGGAUGGAGGAAAGGUUUUCUCCCUUGUAAUGUUCGUACUCGUGGACAUUCAACGAAUGUCAGAAGAUUCAGGACAGCUUUUUCAAAAGGACUUCUUCACACUGUGCAUCAUUAAACUGUGGAACUCUCUUGCACAUGAGGCAGUGGCUGCCGCCAUCUUGGAUGGCUGUAGAAGAGGGCAAAUUCAUGGAGGAUAAGGCUAUAAACCUGUUUCUUUUUAAAAAAAUGUAUUUAUUGAAAAUUUUCCAACAUACACAUAUAAAAAUACAAAACACGCAAAUACACACACAUACACAAGACAAAAACAAAAAAAUAUCAAAAACAAAAUAUCUAACUUAAAUCUUAAUCAACACCUUUUGGACUCCCUCAACCUCCCCCCUUGGGUCCCUGUUAAAAUAUUACUUAAACAGUAUUCAUUGUGAUUUUACUAAUCUUGCACAUUAUUUUCUCAAUUCUUUGUUCUUAUCUUCAACCCAUCUUUCAUAUCUUAUUGCAAUCAUCUUUAUCUAAUAUUUCAGAUCAAAUAUUUCUAAUUCCCUUUCUUCAUUCUAUAACUUUUUCCCUUCUGCCUAUAAUUUUUAUUAACUUUUAUGUUAAUAAAAGUUAAUAAACCUGUUUCUUCAGUGGACAUACAAUUCCAUCCAAAGCAAGCAACUGACCAGGAAUCUGAGUGCAAAGAACUGAACAGAGCUCAGAGUCCUUCCACAACACCUCAACUUUCCCCCCUUUCUUCAUUCAAUCCAUGUAAUUUAGGGCAAGAAGGGAUGUCCUUUUUUGCAGCUAUUGUUAAACAAUUGGGAGACAGAAAACCUUAUCGGUCUAUUGUAAGUCGCCCAGAGAUCUACCAACAGGCCCAGAUCUAACUUCUGCCUACCCCAGCCUGUUGGCUUAAUCUGUGCUUCUAGAUGUUUGCAGACUUAACAUUCAGUCAAACUGAUCACCUAUAAUCUUAUGUUCUUAUUAAUUGGUAGAGACUGUCAUGGCAACGACAUGAGGACGCUGGAGCGCUCUUAAGAUAUGUUGACACCACUGCAUCUUACUGAAAAGCCUAAAACCUUUGACUUUUCUAUCUCUGGCAGAUGGUAUAUCACUUUUGUCUGUUUUCCUAAGCGCAGUUAACAUAGAAGCAGUUCCACCGAAAUCAAUCAGUGAUGCUUCUGGACUCGUCUUAAAUUACUAUCUCACCCUGUGUCAAGUAAUGGUUUUCAGCUCUAGAUAAGCAGAACAACUUGGAAGUACCAAAUGGAUUUAAGCACCGCUCACGAGUGGAUUUUGGAAUUGGAAACGAAUUCUGCAAUCUGUUUGGGGCAUGCGGCAAAAAAGGUGACCACAUCAUGUGGUCAGUCUCAGGGGAGGCCAGGCACCCGCUUUGCAUGCUUGCAGUUCUGGGUCGAGGAGCUAAUAUCUGGCGUUGGACACGGACCCUUUUGUCUGAUUCAACACAAGUCUGGCUUAUUCGAGACUUGACUAGAUACCUGCCUCUCUCCUGAGUGUUUUUGCUGUCUACCUUUUCAAAAUGUGUCGGAAGUCACAACUAGGGGUUGCAUGUCAUGGGCACUAAAAUAAUUAAAAUUAUAUACGGAACAAAGCCAGAUUCUGUGCCCUCAAUAGUGGAGGGCUGCAUAGUCGAUUCCGCCCAGAGUGGCUGGGGGAACCCGGCCAGAUGGGCGGGGUAUAAAUAAUAAAUUAUUAUUAUUAUUAUAAUUAAAUUGGCAUAUCUGUGUGCUUAUUUUACAUAUCUUUCAACCUCAUGUCAGUUGUGGGUUGCGGGGGGGGGGGGGCUACGGAGCCCAUCCUUGUUUUCGAAGAUUGGUGCAGGCAAUUAAUUUUAGACUCUGAAUUUUAUGUUCUUAUUAUGGGGGUGGAGGAGUUGCUUUGGAUUCUGUAGCCCCAUCUUUAAAUGGUAAUGUGCAUUAGAAUCAUAGAGUUGGAAGAGACCACAAGGGCCAUCCAGUCCAACCCCCUGCCAAGCAGGAAACACCAUCAAAGCAUUACUGACAGAUGGCUGUCAAGCCUCUGCUUAAAGACCUCCAAAGAAGGAGACUCCACCACACUCCUUGGCAGCAAGUUCCACUGUCGAACAGCUCUUACUGUCAGGAAGUUCUUCCUAAUGUUUAGGACGGUGUAAUCUUCUUUCUUGUAGCUUGAAUCCAUUGCUCCGUGUCCGCUUCUCUGGAGCAGCAGAAAACAACCUUUCACCCUCUUCUAUAUGACAUCCUUUUAUAUAUUUGAACAUGGCUAUCAUAUCACCCCUUAACCUUCUCUUCUCCAGGCUAAACAUACCCAGCUCCCUAAGCCGUUCCUCAUUACUUCACUUAAAAAUGUAGCAAGCUAUCCCUAUUGCAUUCGGGGACCGUCCUGUAUUUUUCUGCUGAGUGGGGCUCUGAAACAUUUUCUUGGCAGUUAGUUCAUGCCUGUUGAUACUGUUUUUAUUCACUUCGUUAGGCACCUUGGACAUUUCUGUGGGGAGGCAUUCCCCCAGUGGGGAUAAGCAUGCUCCAUGGGUACCGACUGCUGGGGAUCUGUUGGCAGUGAUGAUGUACAGCUGGCAGGUUGGAACCAAUAUUGUCCUUGCUGCAGCGGGAACAGGUGGUGCUGCGGUCUAAACCACUGAGCCUCUUGGGCUUGCUGAUCAGAAGGUCGGCGGUUCAAAUCCACACGGCGGAGUGAGCUCCCGUUUCUCUCUCCUAGCUCCUGCCAACCUAGCAGUUCGAAAGCACAUCAGUGCGAGUAGAUAAAUAGGUACCACUGUGGCGGGAAGGUAAAAGGCAUUUGUGCUCUGGUGUUCAGUUGUGCCAGAAGUGGUUUAGUCAUGCUGGCCACAUGACCCGGAAAGCUGUCUGUGGACAAGCGCCAGCUCCCUCGGCCUGAAAGCGAGAGGAGCGCCACACCCCAUAGUUGCCUUUGGCUGGACUUAACCACCCACGGGUCUUUUACCUUUACCUUAUCAGUGCACGCUGCAACUUUUUGUUGCAGGCGCCACAUGUUCACAUUCUUACAACUGCGAUUGAUGUGAAUUAUUUACCUCAUUAAGGCAUCUUAUUCUUCUAAUCCACUCUUCAACCUGAGCGAUCCCAGAGUAGGAUACAAAAUACAUUUAAGAAUACGUACAAUCCUGUAAAACACAAUAAGAGCUCAUUUGGGACAAUAGGAGCAGCUAAAACCACUGAGCCAGGGAAUCAGUCACCAUAGCCCCAAGUCCUCGACAAUGCCUAGGUAAAUAGGUUGGUAUUUACUUGGUGCCAGUAUCGCAAGAGCUUUGAGCACAUGCUACGAAUAAUGUUUAUGUUAUUUAUCUGUGUUAAGACAUCAUGGGAUUGGUGGAGCCACGGCAGAGAGAAAAACAAUUUCUUACUAUUGCUGUCCCUCUUUUCCCUGGACAUUCGUAUGUGUCACGAUGGAAGCACUCCUUUUCAGCAACAAAAAUAACAGAAUCAUAGAAUUGUAGAGUUGGAAGGGACACCGAGGGUCAUCCAGUCCAACCCCCUGCAAUGAAGGAAUCGCAGCUAAAGCAUCCAUGACAGAUUACCACCCAACUUCUGCUUUAAAACCCCCAAGGAAGGAGAGCCCACCACCUCCCAAGCGAGUCCAUUCCACUGUCAAACAGCUCUUGCUGUCAGAAAGUUCCUCCUGAUAUUUCGUUGGAAUCUCCUUUCUUGUAACUUGAAGGGCUGUGGCUUAGUGGACGGGCAUCUGCUCAUGUUCAGUCCUCAGCGUCCUCAUAUUGGAGGCCCUCUGUCUGCAGCUCCGGAGAGAGGUGCUGAAAGCCAGUGUAGGCAUUACUGACCUUGAUGGAACCAGUGGACUCAGGAGCACAGUGUCACAAAAUCACAGCUCCAUCAGGCAAAAUGCCAAUGGUUCUGCAUGCUCUUUGCGGCUAGGGAUGUUACCUGGCACAUGAGAAUCUGGGUUCAAAAUUAUGUCCCAGUUUGAACCAGGAAGAAGUAAGAUUCAUGCCCCCAGAAUGCCCUUUGGGGGGGACUUGUGCCACCUUAAAUUCUGCUACCUGAGCCCCAGCUGAGCCAAGGCUGAGGGACUUAUGCUGGCCUAGCCCCAGUUCAGCUGGUAAAACCCAAGAUCUACUGAAUGCAAACUCUCCUUCUGGGGGAACUUGGAUUUAGAUUGCACUGUCCUAUUAUAAGUUUUGUAGGUACCAGAGCCCAGUAACCCUUUGUCCUUCAACAGCACCCUCCAAAGCAUAAAGGGCAGGUGUAAGCGUAUCAGGUUGUAUUUCCUGGGCUUUGCAAUAUAUUGAUCAGAAGGGAGAACAAACUUAUCUGCUCACUUCAUUUAUCCAAUUUUUCCAGGGGAGAGCACCAUCAGCAGCUGGCUAAGCAAUUUUUUUGCUGCACUCAUCAUCAAAUACAGACUUGAUGUCUCUCCCAGGUUGUUAUGGUCUCUUCACCUACUGGGUCACCAAGACCCAGGGAUGCCUUCUCCACCUCAUUGGCCAGCACUCCACAAGCACACCACUUCUAUAUAUGUCAAGGUUACACAGAGCCAAACAUUCCCACUGCCAGUAAUCUGUUAUGACUCGAUCUCUGCAUUCACUGAAUUCGGUAGUCCUUUUGGUCUGCUGGGGGUGGAUCACUGUGGCAUGCAGUAGGAGCCCUUCCCUAUGUCACUUUGGGGGGGGGGUAAAUGGGGGUUAGUCUGAUGCCCCACUACCGUAUUUACUCUAGUCUAAUGCGCCAUCGAAUCUAAUGUGUGCCUCAAAUUUUCAGAACCUUGAAACCAAAAAAAGUAUUUGCUGGCGAAUGUAAUUGUGCCAUCAAAUCCAAUGCGAACCUUAAUUUUUGCAAUGUAAUUUGGCAAAAAAAAAAAAGGCUGAACAUUAGAUUCAAGUAAAUGUG
This is a non-coding RNA of Zootoca vivipara (common lizard), 29416 nucleotides long. Lineage: Eukaryota; Metazoa; Chordata; Lepidosauria; Squamata; Lacertidae. The record is from RefSeq and is a predicted model, not a curated record.